AGGGAUCAUUACCGAGUUCAUGCCCCACAGCGGGGUAGAUCUCCCACCCUUGUGUAUUUAUACCUGUGUUGCUUUGGCAGGCCGCUGGGCUGCGGUCUGGCCACCGGCUUCUUCGAAGCUGGUGCGUGCCUGCCAGAGGCCCCCCAAACUCUUGUUUGUCUAGUGUUGUCUGAGUAUCAUACCAAUCGUUAAAACUUUCAACAACGGAUCUCUUGGUUCGGGCAUCGAUGAAGAACGCAGCGAAAUGCGAUAAGUAAUGCGAAUUGCAGAAUUCAGUGAAUCAUCGAAUCUUUGAACGCACAUUGCGCCCCUUGGUAUUCCGAGGGGCAUGCCUGUUCGAGCGUCAUUUCAACCCCUCAAGCUCUGCUUGGUAUUGGGCCUCGCCAUCGCGGCGGGCCUUAAAAUCAGUGGCGGUGCCGUCUCGGCUCCAAGCGUAGUAGCAUCAUCUCGCUCUGGAGACCCGGCGGUUGCUGGCCAGAUAACCCCCAAUUUUUUCUGUGGUUGACCUCGGAUCAGGUAGGGAUACCCGCUGAACUUAA
This 539-nucleotide ribosomal RNA is filed under the name Xylogone ganodermophthora. Its description in RNAcentral is "eukaryotic LSU rRNA". The stretch from base 193 to 346 matches the Rfam family "5.8S ribosomal RNA". Lineage: Eukaryota; Fungi; Ascomycota; Leotiomycetes. The record is from RNAcentral.